This 253-nucleotide ribosomal RNA is filed under the name uncultured bacterium. RNAcentral's name for it is "partial 16S ribosomal RNA". It matches the Rfam family "Bacterial small subunit ribosomal RNA", at positions 524 to 776 of the family's 1533-position model. The record is from RNAcentral.
UACGGGGGGGGCAAGCGUUGUUCGGAAUUACUGGGCGUAAAGGGCUCGUAGGCGGCCAACUAAGUCGGAUGUGAAAUCCCCAGGCCUAACCUGGGAACUGCAUCCGAUACUGGAUGGCUUGAAUCCGGGAGAGGGAUGCAGAAUUCCAGGUGUAGUGGUGAAAUGCGUAGAUAUCUGGAGGAACACCGGUGGCGAAGGCGGCAUCCUGGACCAAUAUUGACGCUGAGGAGCGAAAGCCAGGGGAGCAAACGGG